GGAGUGCAGAGUAGCUCUUAUUUUAGCAAAUUAGCAAUGAUUUCGGUCCUGUGCAAGUAAUUAAGUCUGAAUAUAUUUGGACACAGUUCAAUCUUUCUGUAAUUGGGGGAGCAGGAUUUGAGUCACUGUGGGGAUCAGAAUGGGGAAGCAGGACAUAAUAAAAAUAAUAGCAAGAGACAAACAGUUCAUGUGAUGAAUUAAAACAGUUCACAAUGAUUUUUAAACUCAGAAACAAGUGGAUUUUUCACAUUGCUUUGUGAAUUGAUGUUGUAAUAUAUUUUAAUUUGUGGACACAUUCUCCCUUGUGACACCUUGGCAGAAAGAAAUUUAAACAGCAGCUUACCAUUAUGAAAGACAAAUCUGAGUGACAAGCAUGGCUCCCUGAGGAGGAGAAAAUCCUUCAUCCUGGUUUGCACCAUUCAAAGCUCCGUUGUCCAGGAUGUCUGGUGAUUUUGACUGAAAGAUUACCUGAUUCUGUCAUAGUUCAGAGCCUAAUUUUCUUAAAUCGCAUCAGAACCCUUGGGUAAAUACCAUCUGGUACUAACUACUUGCCAUACCUCAAAGCAUUAAAUUCCUCUUGUUGGAAGAGGAGCAAAUACCACAGCACACUGUCUUGAUUGAGAAUGUAAUCUUUCCUUUCAUGGGCUGCUGUGGAAUAGGUGAUAACACUCGACCACAGGUGCUAACUAUUUGAGUGACAGCAACUCAGUGGGUCAUCCAAACCUGCUUCUUUGCUAUGUUGGAGGAAUGGGCAAUUACAAGGGGAGGAGAUUAAAAGAAGAUCCUGCUAAGUAGUGUAACUAUGCUGUGAGUGGGAGUACAUCCUCCUGCAGAGCUCCCAAGUCAUUUGUGGCCAAGUGAAAAAAUGGUUCAGUAUCUGGUAUGGCAAAAAUCGUGUUUCCAGCUCCACCAAAUAAUUCUUACCCUUGAAAUUUUUUGCUGUUCAGUGCACAGUGAAGCACUGGGCACUCUGGAUAUCAUCAUUCCCAAGUGACCAGGAGAUAAUAUUGGCAACUGGUGGAUUAGUCUUAAGUCUCUUGGUAAUAAACUUCUUAUGAAGAGGCCACAUCUUAUCUCUGAAAUAAGAUGCGCUCAGAGACAUUCAUUAGGAAUUAAUCAGAAUCGAUACGAGGCACAGUGAAGCUAUAUACUUGUCUGAUUAAAGCAGCCACAAGAUGCCAACAGCCUGCUUUUGCAUAGCACACAGUGCAUUUAACUCCUGCCAAAUUCAGGUGUCCUGCAAGGCUGGGGAUCCCAUAUACGUCUUCUGUGUUACGAAAUGAAAAAAAAUUCCUAUAUAAACUUUUGUUGCAGUUUUCCUGCCUUGUAUGUAAGAAAAGCCACGGUUCAGAAAAGGGAGCAAGGAAAUGCCAAAGUUUCUAGCAGUUGAGAGGUGCUCAAUAACAGAAGGAAAGAAAGAAACAAACAGGAUGUUUCUGUGAGAAGAAACUACACUUACUGGUAACAGUCUUCAAAGUGACUGACAGGGAAAAUGGAAAAUUGUGGAAAAAGGGAGACAUGACAGUACUUAAAUUAUUACCUGAAGCCAAUUUAAAGUAUAGUGAAGGUGCAAUAUCUUUUGCCAUGAAAAUUAGAAUAACUCGACUGUUGUUGGUAACAGGUAGAUGUCCCAUUCAAUUAAUAUGUGUUUUGGGGAGGAAGAUGGUUAUAGAGGUGAAAGUAAGGGUUAAAGAACCUCAGCACUCCUGUCUUUCAGCAAUCCCUGUGGUACCCCAGCAUGUGUGACGAGGUGCUGACACAGAGGGAUGGAGGUCAGAUUUCUGACUUCACUUUCCGACUUCAGGAAAGCAAAAACCUUUAAGGGUAUUGUCACUUUUUUGGUGAAUUCAGGUCAAUGCAAACCUUGCAGUCACUUUCAGUGGAGUUUGAAUUUCAUAUUUGGCUUUUAAUAAAAACUGUAACCCACGUUCAUGAAAAGCUGGAAGAAAUUUUCCCAGGGUUUCAGAACACAGCCAAAUCCAGCUGGGCUGGCACCUCAGACAAAUUAAGGAGAAAAAGUAAAUCUCAGGAGACCCUCAUAGGUUGCAUUAAUUUUUAAAACACCCAUGUCCUGGUUUUUAGGAGUAAACAGCAACUACAGUUCCCACUAAAACUCAGAAAAUGAGACCAAAUAUGCUUAUUCAGCAGAAGAGCAGUAGAAGGCAAACUCUUCUGCAGUAACAGGACAGACAGACAUAAGGAAAGGUCUUUCAUGCAGAAAACAUUUCAAUGCCCAUAAUAGAGGUAUUUCCAUCUCCCUCAAUAUUUUUCAUUACAUUACUACAGCUGCUGUGUGGAAAUUGUCUGCAAUAAUGAAGUCUUUGUCUAGGAAUACCACCCCCUGGCUUCUAGAUUCAACUAACAGGGAUUUGAUACCAAUAGAGACCUCAAAUAAAAUUUCAUUUUAAUAGCGAGAGGUAAACACUGAAAAAUUGGAAUACUGAGCAUCAAAAUUAGUCUAUAAAGGAAAAUUGAUACAUAUGGUUUCCUUAUCAGAUGAAACAGCUGUUGACAGAAAUAUGUGCCUGGCAGGUCAGAGAUUUUGGAAAAUUAGGAAUCUGCACAUUGUGGACUUUGAUGUGGGCAUGGAAUUCAUUUGAAGAGACCCAAAGAUUGUUCAAGGGCUUGUUAAAAACACACGCGUAAAUAUACAUCCUGGGUGUAAAAACAGUAUGUUAAAAGACAUACAGGAGUAUUUAAAAAAAUUGCAAAAAUAAAAAUGUGGCCAAAAUUGGAUUCCGAAAUUAAUAAAAUCUCUUCUACUUACAUAAUCAUCAAAAAAUAACUAACCUGCAGUAUUAGAUUAAAAAAUUUCAAGAGCCUUACACACUCAAACUUUCUGUUUUUGAAAUUAUAUCAUAAGCCAUCAAAGGGGGACCCUUUAACUUCUUAACAGUCGAGGCACUUUCACUUUAAAACAGGCUAUUGGCUUUGUCCAUUUUUGAACAGUUCAUUGUCGGAUUCAGAUAGUUCUUAACAUAAUUCUGUAUAAUUUCAGGAAACCUUUUGGCAAGAGUGAAUCUGUUAGGUUACCCAUUCUGUCUGACAGUCAGAAACGGAAAGGAUUGAUUGCACGUGAGUAUAGGACUAUCUGAUAGAAAUGGUCUCUCAGUCAUACAUGAGUGACAGAAAUACAUCUUGACUACUCUGUUCUUUCUUCUUGACACUUUGUAAUGAAGAUCCUUGUAUCAGAUAAAAGACACCCCAGAUUACAUACGUUUGCAUUAUAAAAAGGGGAGGGUGAAAAUUAUUGUGAACACAAGCAAAGUUCUAAAAAGGCCAACAAUGAUACACAGACUUGUCCAAAACCAAUGAGAUACAUAGGAGAAAAUGAAAAAGAUUUUGGGGAGGAGGCAACAGUUUGUUCUGGUCAUCUUCGGAGAUGAUGUCACCACAGAAAUGAGGUAGAUAUUGAGAUGGAGUGGAAGGAAGAAAGCACGAGUGUAUCAGCAUUUUUGUCCUUUUCUCCCCAUGACAGCCCCACAGUUAAUACAACACAGCUCAUUAGAUCAUGAAAAGACUGCUAGACACUUUCCUUAACAGUGUCUCCCUGUAGCCCUAUUAGAUUCCCCAUUGUCUGGUUAUGCUGAGCCAAUUAAAUAAUCAGCAUCCAGUUUUGUGGAAACCACAGAUAAAAUCCAGAUAAAAGGCACUAGGAUAUCGUUUUGCAGAAACUGAAAGAUCCAUAUGACAAACUGAGAUGUUAAACCUGACUCUUCAUCCCACGAAGAAAAAUAAGUGGGAAAUUUUGUGUACCAUGGAAUAUAAAGCUUGCUGUUCCCAUGUAAGUUCCCUACUUGCCAUUCCUUUACUUUGCCCAUCUUUCCUCUUGUUCCCUACGCUGCCAUCCCGACUCAAUGGAGCAACAACUAUUAGUAGUUCUCACUGAGGUAUUUGGAGCCAGUUCAGCAGCAAAGCCCCGGCAGAGAAUACCUGUCACUGCUCUGCCAUGCUGUCUGAAA
Long non-coding RNA from Aquila chrysaetos chrysaetos, 3962 nucleotides. RefSeq lists it as uncharacterized. The transcript is spliced from 3 exons. The record is from RefSeq and is a predicted model, not a curated record. Lineage: Eukaryota; Metazoa; Chordata; Aves; Accipitriformes; Accipitridae.